This is a long non-coding RNA of Hydractinia symbiolongicarpus, 717 nucleotides long. RefSeq lists it as uncharacterized. Lineage: Eukaryota; Metazoa; Cnidaria; Hydrozoa; Anthoathecata; Hydractiniidae. The record is from RefSeq and is a predicted model, not a curated record. The transcript has 3 exons.
UUAGGGUGCGGAUACGUAAAGUAGCUCACAAAACAACAGCCUACAUGAAUUUCCGGCCGUAUUGACAUUUAUUUUGAUACGUCAUUUGUAUUGUCCUUGUGGUGUCGCGUAUGUGCUCUGCUGUAGAGUUCGCUCUGCGGUGGAGAACAAGAUGCAUUUUGUUAGUUUUGUGUUGUGAUGUAUUGUCCCGUGUUAAUUAUGUAAAGAGAAUAAUUGUAAUUUUGGUACUAUUUUUAGUUAAAUUUUCUGCACAUCUUGCACAUCUUUUUUCUGCGCAUUCAGUCUUCAACAUGUAAUGACAGAGUCGAACAUACAUUUUUGUAUUAAAUUUGCUGUUGAGUGAAAUUUUUCUUUCAUACAUCACAGGAGUUGUCCUGUAUCUCAGCAUCUGUUUUAGUUGUUUUCUCUCACAUGUAGUUGGCUUGGCUUACGCCACUAUAUAUCUAGUUAAAUCUUGGCAUUCAUUUUUUUGCUUUGCUAAAUUGUAUUUUUGGUAAUAUAGAACAGACAGCCAAUUACUGAUAUGAAAAAUCGUAAGAAUAAUAUUAAACGAAGAUCCAUACAAUGUAAAUUGGAGAAACUGAUUACAUUACAACGAACGAGUGAAUGAUCAGUGAAAAACAAUCUAAGAAAUGUAUGGAUGCUGAGUCGUUUACAACACAUGUAAAAAAGUGCGCCAAAUAUAAUUUUUUUAAAAAAAUCUGCCGAAUUUAUGGA